CACGUAGGGUCCGAGCGUUGUCCGGAAUUACUGGGCGUAAAGCGCGCGCAGGCGGUUAGUCGCAUCGGCGGUGAAAGCCCCCCGCUUAACGGGGGAGGGUCCGUCGAGAUGGACUGACUGGAGGCAGGGAGAGGGCGGUGGAAUUCCGGGUGUAGUGGUGAAAUGCGUAGAGAUCCGGAGGAACACCAGUGGCGAAGGCGGCCGCCUGGACCUGACCUG
Molecule: ribosomal RNA, 219 nt
Filed under: uncultured bacterium
Lineage: Bacteria
Description: partial 16S ribosomal RNA
Rfam family: Bacterial small subunit ribosomal RNA
Source: RNAcentral